This 706-nucleotide ribosomal RNA is filed under the name Candidatus Woesearchaeota archaeon. RNAcentral's name for it is "partial 23S ribosomal RNA". It matches the Rfam family "Archaeal large subunit ribosomal RNA", at positions 913 to 1585 of the family's 2987-position model. Lineage: Archaea; Nanobdellati; Candidatus Woesearchaeota. The record is from RNAcentral.
GAGUCUGGCAAUAGCUGGUUCCUACCAAAGUUGGCCGUAGUCAAGCCUUAGGGGAGAUGGCUAGAGUGAUAGAGCUACGGGUUGAAGAUUUAGGUCCCGAAAGGGAUCGGUUUUCUGUCCAACUCCGAACAUUCUAGCAUCACAGAACCUAGGAGACGGGAAGCCGAGGUAAGCUCGGUUUCCGAGAGGGGAACAACCCAGACUAUAGUUAAGGUCCCUAAAUGCUGACUAAGUGUGAAAGGGUGAAAAGUGUCUAUGGUCGAAGACAGCAAGGAGGUUGGCUUAGAAGCAGCCAUCCUUUAAAAAGUGCGUAUGCCUGCCGACAAAUUCAUUUUCGGCAUGCCGCAAGACAGCUUACUCGUCAAGACUGUAGGCCUUUAAAAUGGACGGGGCUAAGUCAGUUACCGAUACUAUAGAAUACCUAAAAGGUAAUUAGUAGGUAGGCGUUCUAUAAGGGCAGAAGUAUUCUUGCAAAAGAAUAUGGACCUUAUGGAAAUGAGAAUCCUGGCGGUAGUAGGAUCUUAGCACUGUAAGAAUCAGUGCCACUGAAAGGGCAAGGGUUCCUUGGCAAUGCAAAUCAGCCAAGGGUUAGUCGAGCCUAACCCAAUCCAUAAAUUGGAUUUGGGGAAAGGGAUAAAGGUUAAUAUUCCUUUACUAUUCAAGUAUGUGUGGCAACGCAAGAUUUAUUCCUGACAUUUCUGAUUAA